Molecule: ribosomal RNA, 415 nt
Filed under: Aliculastrum sp. UF 374152
Lineage: Eukaryota; Metazoa; Mollusca; Gastropoda; Cephalaspidea; Haminoeidae
Description: partial 16S ribosomal RNA
Rfam family: Archaeal large subunit ribosomal RNA
Source: RNAcentral
AAAACAUAGCCCUAAGUAUUUAUUUAGGGUAAUACCUGCCCAAUGAGACAUUAAAUGGCCGCGGUACUCUGACCGUGCUAAGGUAGCAUAAUCAAUUGACUUUUAAAUGAAGUCUGGAAUGAACGGGGUAACGGAAUUUAGCUGUCUCACCUGUUUUUUUUAGAAGUUACUAACUAAGUGAAAAGGCUUAGAAAUGAAAAAAGACGAGAAGACCCUAAGAGUUUUACAUUUUGUUGGGGCGACAAGGGAUCUAAACAUCCUUGAUAAUGUGGCGGUUAUUACAGGAAAAGAUAAACUACCUUAGGGAUAACAGCAUUAUUCUUUUGAGUUUGUGACCUCGAUGUUGGACUAGGAAGCCUCUAGGCUAGCUGCUUAGAGAGGGGAUUCUGUUCGAAUUUUUACUCCUACGUGAUCU